This is a long non-coding RNA of Spinacia oleracea (spinach), 1408 nucleotides long. RefSeq lists it as uncharacterized. Lineage: Eukaryota; Viridiplantae; Streptophyta; Magnoliopsida; Caryophyllales; Amaranthaceae. The record is from RefSeq and is a predicted model, not a curated record. The transcript has 3 exons.
CAAAACCCUUUCUUUGCUUUAGUUCCACGUGAAGUGCGUUGCUGCCCCUCUCCUUGCUUCAGGCCGCCGUCAACCACCUCGCCUGACAGCCGCCUGCUUCUCCAUCGUCGUCCCUCUCCUCGCUCUCCUUUACCACCGCCACCACCAGCGCUCACCACUUGCACCGCGCAACCAGCCUCGCCGCACCGUCGCUGCCACCGUGCAUUUUUAUUGCGCCGCUAGCCAGCCUUAACCUUCUCCUUUCGCAAGCAACAGUGCAGCUCUUCGCGAGCCUCCUCGCCGCCGCGCAACACCACCUUCGUCAACCAGCCAUCCGUCGCCGCCGCACCAUACGCCGCUGCCCAAUCUUCUCCUCUCCUCCUUGAUUUCGGUUGUUCUCUAAACCUAAGUUAAUUAACGAAUUUAAUUAAGUUUUAAUAAUUCAAAUUAUGUUCUUGAAUUUAAAUUAUACAUUUUUAUGUUUUAAUUAGAAUUUUCAGAUUUAUAUAUUAUGUUUAAAUAAUAAAUUUAAUUUUCAGAUUAUAUAAAUGCAUUGAAAUAAUGAUUUUUAUUAUUAAAAGCAUGAAUUUUAAGUUUUAAAUCAUGACAGGAUGAUUGUGGAUUAUUGAAUUUAUUGUUUCGAUGUUCUAAGAACGUAGAUUGGCCUUGGCAAUGUUUUUAAAUAAGUUAUAUUGCUGAAAAUUUAAGUAUGAUAUUUGCAAAGAGUUUUCAACGAAUUUCAAUCUUUAAUUCAAUAAUUGUUAUGCUAGGAAAUCAAAUAUUCAAGUUUUGUUAUUGGAGAAAAGUUCUAAAUAUGUUUAGGAUGUAGUUAGAAUGUGUUAGUAUAGUUGUGAAUGAUUAGAAGUUGAUUGGGAAUAUUUGUUGGUUGUUUUAGGCGGAGAAUUCUCUGUAGGCGACUUUUGAAUUAUUAAAGUGGUCUUGCAGUUUGUUUACACAAGUCUCUAAGGAUCAAUAAGCGUUGCCCAUCUACAGGUUUGAAGAUGAUGCAUCAUUGGGAUCGGGAUUAGAGAGCUUAUAGUUCUAUUUGUUUAAUUAAGUGAUUUAAUUUGUUAACUUAUAUUUGAAAGUCGUCGUACUAUUCGUAUUUCUUUAUUUCCGUUAAUUGGUUUUGGACUUAAUAUGUAAUCAAUUAUUUAUGAACCUAAAAGUUAGUUUUAUGUUUUCCGCUGCAAAAUUCUGAAUAAGCCGUACGUUUCCACACGGGCGAUAAUGCCUUGAUAAUUCUCUAUAGUUAUAUUUAUAAAAGGGUUGUUUUAGAAAAAGGGAAUUGUCGGGGUGUUACAAAGUGGUAUCUAGAAGCUAAGGUUUUACUUUAACAAUUUUUUUUAGGCGCCUAACUAUGUAGUUAUUUAAAAUAAAUUUCUUAAAAAUCGAGCUUCUACGCACUAUAUUGUUCAAAAAAUUGGUA